RNAcentral lists this long non-coding RNA (548 nucleotides) under Durio zibethinus. RNAcentral's name for it is "long non-coding RNA (DZIB_LNC000980)". Lineage: Eukaryota; Viridiplantae; Streptophyta; Magnoliopsida; Malvales; Malvaceae. The record is from RNAcentral.
UAAGAGCGACAGCGAGAGGAAGGUUUGGGUAGGACGUAGUUCCUGGGAUUGCUUUUGUGUGGGAUGGUCAGAUUGCUCUGCAACUCGGUUCUACCCCUGUCUUUGCUUUGGAAAGGUUCUUGAAUGUUAGAUUCCCUUUUUCUUUUUGGAAGAUAUGGUUGCUUCCAAGCCCACCUUCCGCUUGUUAAUAGUAGACUAAUGGGAGAGAGCCGUAGAUGAAAGCCUCUUCCUUAGCGGCCUCCUUCUGCUUCCGCUUCUUAUUCAACAUCUGUAUGGUUGUUUUAAGGGAAAAGGCCGCUUCUAGGUACUAAUGGUUGGCUCGUCAUCUACCUUUCUUUCUUGUCCUGUCGACUUUCUUCUUUCUGGCUUGAAAGCUUUCUUUGCUAAAAUAGAGAAAAGAUUCAAAGGAAAUUGAUGAAAGCUAAAUGGAGAAAGAAAGGUGGGAUGGCUGGAUGGGUCGAUGAGAAAUUUUGAAGAGAUCGGGGAGUUAGACAAAGAAGGUCGAAAGAAAUCAAAAUUCAAAAAUCCUAAAAAAAAUUACAUAUAUA